This 490-nucleotide ribosomal RNA is filed under the name uncultured bacterium. Its description in RNAcentral is "partial 16S ribosomal RNA". It matches the Rfam family "Bacterial small subunit ribosomal RNA", at positions 30 to 507 of the family's 1533-position model. The record is from RNAcentral.
AUUGAACGCUGGCGGCAGGCCUAACACAUGCAAGUCGAACGGUAACAGGAAGCAGCUUGCUGCUUCGCUGACGAGUGGCGGGCGGGUGAGACAUGUCUGGGAAACUGCCUGAUGGAGGGGGAUAACUACUGGAAACGGUAGCUAAUACCGCAUAACUUCGCAAGACCAAAGAGGGGGACCUUAGGGCCUCUUGCCUGCGGGUGGGCCCAGAUGGGAUUAGCUUGUAGGUGGGGUAACGGCUCACCUAGGCGACGAUCCUUAGCUGGUCUGAGAGGGUGACCAGCCACACUGGAACUGAGACACGGUCCAGACUCCUACGGGAGGCCGCAGUGGGGAAUUUUGCACAAUGGGCGCAAGCCUGAUGCAGUCAUGCCGCGUGUAUGAGGAAGGCCUUCGGGUUGUAAAGUACUUUCAGCGGGGAGGAAGGGAGUAAGGUUAAUACCUGUGCUCAUUGACGUUACCCGCAGAAGAAGCACCGGCUAACUACGUG